UGAAAUGCAAAUCAAACUAGACUUGAUUUUUCAUAUUUAUAAGUUCAACACCAAAUGUUUCUUUUUGUUCCUUUCCAUUGUGCUUAUGCAGAUUAGUUUUAUACUUGCUAUUUUUAACACUAAAAAUUAAUAUUAAACAUAAAACUAGCCUUGUUAUUAGUGGGUACAGGAACUUUCCAUGAGAAAACCAUAAGAUAGAGGAAAAUGGGACA
RNAcentral lists this long non-coding RNA (212 nucleotides) under Olea europaea subsp. europaea. The record is from RNAcentral. Lineage: Eukaryota; Viridiplantae; Streptophyta; Magnoliopsida; Lamiales; Oleaceae.